ACUCCUACGGGAGGCAGCAGUGGGGAAUAUUGCACAAUGGGCGCAAGCCUGAUGCAGCCAUGCCGCGUGUGUGAAGAAGGCCUUCGGGUUGUAAAGCACUUUCAGUCGUGAGGAAGGUAGUGUAGUUAAUAGCUGCAUUAUUUGACGUUAGCGACAGAAGAAGCACCGGCUAACUCCGUGCCAGCAGCCGCGGUAAUACGGAGGGUGCGAGCGUUAAUCGGAAUUACUGGGCGUAAAGCGCAUGCAGGUGGUUUGUUAAGUCAGAUGUGAAAGCCCGGGGCUCAACCUCGGAAUUGCAUUUGAAACUGGCAGGACUAGAGUACUGUAGAGGGGGGUAGAAGUUUCAGGUGUAGCGGUGAAAUGCGUAGAGAUCUGAAGGAAUACCGGUGGCGAAGGCGGCCCCCUGGACAGAUACUGACACUCAGAUGCGAAAGCGUGGGGAGCAAACAGGAUUAGAUACCCU
Molecule: ribosomal RNA, 463 nt
Filed under: uncultured bacterium
Lineage: Bacteria
Description: bacterial SSU rRNA
Rfam family: Bacterial small subunit ribosomal RNA
Source: RNAcentral